UUGUCCUGUGACUGCGUACCUUUUGUAUAAUGGGUCAGCGACUUAUAUUCAGUGGCAAGGUUAACCAUCUAGGGGAGCCGUAGGGAAACCGAGUCUUAACUGGGCGUUCAGUCUCUGGAUAUAGACCCGAAACCAGGUGAUCUAGCCAUGGGCAGGUUGAAGGUUGAGUAACAUCAACUGGAGGACCGAACCGACUAAUGUUGAAAAAUUAGCGGAUGACUUGUGGCUAGGGGUGAAAGGCCAAUCAAACCUGGAGAUAGCUGGUUCUCCCCGAAAGCUAUUUAGGUAGCGCCUCGGACGAAUACUACUGGGGGUAGAGCACUGUUAAGGCUAGGGGGUCAUCCCGACUUACCAACCCUUUGCAAACUCCGAAUACCAGUAAGUACUAUCCGGGAGACACACGGCGGGUGCUAACGUCCGUCGUGGAGAGGGAAACAACCCAGACCGCCAGCUAAGGUCCCAAAUUACUACUAAGUGGGAAACGAUGUGGGAAGGCUCAGACAGCCAGGAUGUUGGCUUAGAAGCAGCCAUCAUUUAAAGAAAGCGUAAUAGCUCACUGGUCGAGUCGGCCUGCGCGGAAGAUGUAACGGGGCUAAGUAGUAAACCGAAGCUGCGGCAAUA
This 621-nucleotide ribosomal RNA is filed under the name Vibrio parahaemolyticus. RNAcentral describes it as "partial 23S ribosomal RNA". It matches the Rfam family "Bacterial large subunit ribosomal RNA", at positions 586 to 1210 of the family's 2925-position model. The record is from RNAcentral. Lineage: Bacteria; Pseudomonadati; Pseudomonadota; Gammaproteobacteria; Vibrionales; Vibrionaceae.